RNAcentral lists this non-coding RNA (30 nucleotides) under Mus musculus (house mouse). Lineage: Eukaryota; Metazoa; Chordata; Mammalia; Rodentia; Muridae. The record is from RNAcentral.
UACUAUAGUCUGCAUGAGGAAAUGGCUAGU